Molecule: ribosomal RNA, 466 nt
Filed under: uncultured bacterium
Lineage: Bacteria
Description: partial 16S ribosomal RNA
Rfam family: Bacterial small subunit ribosomal RNA
Source: RNAcentral
GAUGAACGCUGGCGGCGUGCUUAACACAUGCAAGUCGAACGGUGAAAGAGAGCUUGCUCUCUGGAUCAGUGGCGAACGGGUGAGUAACACGUGAGCAAUCUGCCCCUUACUCUGGGAUAAGCGCUGGAAACGGCGUCUAAUACCGGAUACGAGCUGCGAAGGCAUCUUCAGCAGCUGGAAAGAACUUCGGUCAGGGAUGAGCUCGCGGCCUAUCAGCUAGUUGGUGAGGUAACGGCUCACCAAGGCGUCGACGGGUAGCCGGCCUGAGAGGGUGACCGGCAACACUGGGACUGAGAAACGGACCAGACUGCUACGGGAGGCAGCAGUGGGGAAGAUUGCACAAUGGGCGAAAGCCUGAUGCAGAAACGCCGCGUGAGGGAAGACGGCCUUCGGGUUGUAAAAAUAUUUUAGCAGGGAAGAAGCGAAAGUGACGGUAACUGAAGAAAAAGCACCGGCUAACUACGUG